This 753-nucleotide ribosomal RNA is filed under the name uncultured Actinomyces sp. Its description in RNAcentral is "bacterial SSU rRNA". It matches the Rfam family "Bacterial small subunit ribosomal RNA", at positions 28 to 776 of the family's 1533-position model. Lineage: Bacteria; Bacillati; Actinomycetota; Actinomycetes; Actinomycetales; Actinomycetaceae. The record is from RNAcentral.
GACGAACGCUGGCGGCGUGCUUAACACAUGCAAGUCGAACGCUGAAGGCCCAGCUUGCUGGGUUGGAUGAGUGGCGAACGGGUGAGUAACACGUGAGUAACCUGCCCCCUUCUUUGGGAUAACGGUCGGAAACGGCUGCUAAUACCGGGUAUUCACUGUCCUUCGCAUGGGGGGUGGUGGAAAGGUUUUUUCUGGUGGAGGAUGGGCUCGCGGCCUAUCAGCUUGUUGGUGGGGUGAUGGCUUACCAAGGCUUUGACGGGUAACCGGCCUGAGAGGGUGACCGGUCACAUUGGGACUGAGAUACGGCCCAGACUCCUACGGGAGGCAGCAGUGGGGAAUAUUGCACAAUGGGCGAAAGCCUGAUGCAGCGACGCCGCGUGAGGGAUGGAGGCCUUCGGGUUGUAAACCUCUUUCGCUCAUGGUCAAGCCGCAACUUUGGGUUGUGGUGAGGGUAGUGGGUAAAGAAGCACCGGCUAACUACGUGCCAGCAGCCGCGGUAAUACGUAGGGUGCGAGCGUUGUCCGGAAUUAUUGGGCGUAAAGGGCUUGUAGGCGGUUUGUCGCGUCUGCCGUGAAAUCCUCUGGCUUAACUGGGGGCGUGCGGUGGGUACGGGCAGGCUUGAGUGCGGUAGGGGAGACUGGAACUCCUGGUGUAGCGGUGGAAUGCGCAGAUAUCAGGAAGAACACCGGUGGCGAAGGCGGGUCUCUGGGCCGUUACUGACGCUGAGGAGCGAAAGCGUGGGGAGCGAACAGG